GGGGGUCCGGGGAGGGCCGGCUCUGGCAUGGGAGGCCCUGCCCUUGCGGGCUGGCCUGGCAGGCUGGGUCAGCUGGGAGGUUCAGGGGCGCCGGGGAGCCAGCUGUGCUUGUCUCGCUGGGUGCUGGGUUUGCCUCCAGUUUCCUGGGUGGCACCAAAAAGUCUCGUGUUCUUCAUUUUGGUCCUGCCCGCUACUGAUACCACGUUCCCCACCAAAAAAACAUUCUUACCUUCUCCCUUUUAGGCUUCAUUUUUCAGGGUGUAAAGCCAUUAAGUGUUUCGGGUGCAGGGUAUGGAACAGGCUAGGGUGCUAUCGGUUGGCCAGAGCAAAAGGCCAAAGACUUUCCAGCCUGGGUUCUUAUUCUGGGACCUUCUGCCUUGUGGUUAGGAGGCUCUUAGCCAGGACCAGCCGUCCCCCCACCAGCAGCACAGCCUUCCUGCUGUGCCACAACGAUUGCCCCAUUGCAGAUGGGCAUGGGCCUCCCCGAAGCACGCAGGCGGGUGGCUCUCCUGGACCAGGGUCCACAGGCAGGUUAAUGAAACCCUGUCGUCUCCGGUCCCUGCAGGGCCCAAGUCACUGUUCCCAUGGAAAGAAACCAAGAUCCCUACAAGCUGGAUCUCUGGGGCUGCGUGGCAGCGUCUCUGUCUCUGCUCUCCGCGGAGCCCCUUUCCUGGGACAGAGGAGCCACGGAGAGCUUCGGGAUCCGUGCCAGGAACCCGAGGCCUCCCAGGGCUCCGCUGAGUGACGGGAAGGCCUGGCUGCUGUUCCAGCCCAGCCUGGGUGCCACGGUGCAGACAGUGGGCGCGGGGAGCACAUUCUGCACUUCGCUUGCAUUUUCCACCACCACAGUCUCUCUCGUCAUGCUCCCCAGUCAUUAUUCUUUCCAGAGGGCCUGAGCCGAGCCUCCAUCCAGGGACUGGCUCGGGGCUCACAUGGGGUGGGGCCUGGGGCUCUGAACCUUCUCUUGCUCAGACCCCAGAGAGGCUGCGACUGCAGGAGCCUCCUUGGUGG
Molecule: long non-coding RNA, 1011 nt
Filed under: Canis lupus familiaris (dog)
Lineage: Eukaryota; Metazoa; Chordata; Mammalia; Carnivora; Canidae
Description: lncRNA (ENSCAFG00000052402.1)
Source: RNAcentral